RNAcentral lists this ribosomal RNA (265 nucleotides) under uncultured archaeon. RNAcentral describes it as "partial 16S ribosomal RNA". It matches the Rfam family "Archaeal small subunit ribosomal RNA", at positions 719 to 982 of the family's 1478-position model. The record is from RNAcentral.
AGUCACUGACAUUAGAUACCCGGGUAGUCCUAGCCGUAAACGAUACUCGCUAGGUGUCGGCCACGGUGCGACCGUUGUCGGUGCCGUAGGGAAGCCGUGAAGCGAGCCACCUGGGAAGUACGGCCGCAAGGCUGAAACUUAAAGGAAUUGGCGGGGGAGCACCACAACGGGUGGAGCUUGCGGUUUAAUUGGAUUCAACGCCGGAAAUCUUACCGGGACCGACAGCAACAUGAAGGCCAGGCUGAAGACUUUGCCGGAUUAGCUG